UCCCACUUUGGUGGGGUAAGGCCCCCGGUUGAUGAUCGGGUUGAUAGGUCGGAGAUGGAAGCGCGGUAACGUGUGGAGUCGACCGGUACUAAUAGGCCGAGUGGCUUGACCACACAAUAC
RNAcentral lists this ribosomal RNA (120 nucleotides) under Actinomadura litoris. Its description in RNAcentral is "Actinomadura sp. NEAU-AAG5 partial 23S ribosomal RNA". It matches the Rfam family "Bacterial large subunit ribosomal RNA", at positions 2812 to 2925 of the family's 2925-position model. The record is from RNAcentral. Lineage: Bacteria; Bacillati; Actinomycetota; Actinomycetes; Streptosporangiales; Thermomonosporaceae.